UGAAGGGCAUCUGUGAUGUGGUGUACCUUGCCUUCAUAUCCCCCUGCUUCAAGCACCACUGCUCUGCUAUACUCCAGCCUGCCCCAGGAAAAGGCAAGAUGGGAGGAAAAGAGCAGCAAAGAAACCACAGACAGCCUUUGGAGCAGCACUGAAAACCAAGCAGACAUCAUGAUAGGGCAAGCUCUGGAAAACCCUGAAUAAAAGUGCAAACUUCUGUUCCAGGCCAGUGGAGGACAGCUACCUGUGUCUGCUAUGUCUGUCUCGCCCCAGAAUGUAACAGACAGUCUGGAGUGCCUACUCCAUGAGAAGUUCACUUUCAUCACUAGCCUCCAAUGGGCGAAAGUCUGAUCAAAUCAACAAGAGGCUGAUUUAGCAUGGAGACAGUGCACCCUCCUUACAAGCAGCCUGCUUCCAUGCACAGACCCAACUGACUGCCAUGGGGACUAUUAACACAGACAGAGUGAUACCCUCUGCUUCAAUUUGGACUCAUUAACGCCAGCAAUGAACCAAAUACACACUCUGGUUUUGCUUGGACUCAGUUUACAGGCAGUCUGGGACAGUGCAGGCAUAGCUCAUUUAUAAGGUGCACUAUUUGAGGCAGGAGGGUUACAUGAGGGUAUUAAUUGUGAAGCCCCAAGCCAUUCUUAUAACAAACAGCAAGUAACUAGUAUAAAUUUUGU
Mauremys mutica (yellowpond turtle) is the source of this 680-nucleotide long non-coding RNA. RefSeq lists it as uncharacterized. The record is from RefSeq and is a predicted model, not a curated record. Lineage: Eukaryota; Metazoa; Chordata; Testudines; Geoemydidae. The transcript has 3 exons.